CCACAAGCUCAUUGUGGCAUAUGCCUUUCUGCUACUAAAUAAAUAAAUCAACAGAUAAAUGUAAUUUAAAAAUUUAAAAAGAAAAGUUCUGAUAACAGAUGCUUGCUAGGAUUGGAGGAAAGGGAAGCUUAUUCACGGUUGAGGGAGUUGUAAUUUAGCUCUACCAUUGUGGAAAUCAACGUGGGGCUUUCUGAAAAACUUAAAAUUAGUAGCUCAUUAGCUUUUCUCAAACUUGACACAAGCCAGAGUCACCAGGGAAGAGGGAACCUCGGUUGAUGAGUUACCUCUACCAGAUUGGUUUGUGGGCAUUUUUAGACCAGAUUGUCUAAGUGGCAUCUUUUUCUUGAUUGUUGAUUGAUGUGGAAGGGCCCAGCCCACUGAUAGAGGCCGGCCUGAAAGGUAUUAGAAAGGUAGCUGAAUAGAAGCCCUAGAGCAAGCUAGUAACCAGCACUCUUUCGUGGUUCCUGCCGCUGCUCCUUCCUGAGUUCCCACCCAACUUCCCUCAGUGUCAACUGUGAUCAGGAUGUGUGUCUCUGAGCUGCAGCAUGGGGGUGCACACUCACAAUCCCAGCACUUCAGAAGCAGAGGCAGGAUGUUUGCAGGUGUGAAGGCAGCCUGGACUACGUAGUAUGAAGCUAUCCUGGGUCUUAGAUGAGACCCCCCGCCAUCUUACAGAAAUGAAAAAGCAAAAAGGAACAAAACCAAAACCGCAGAAGGAAUUGCAUUCCACAAAAACACAUGCAAUCAAACACAUGUUACCACUGCUUCCUGUCUGUCUCCAUUAUCUGCCUCUACUUCUGGUUUCGCUUCCUGCCUUUCUUCUCCAUUUCAAACUAAACAACUCCUGUGGGCUGCAGAGUUAUACAAACUAUGGGGUAAAAGGAAAUUCCUCCUGGAGUAACCGUGGUGCCCAUGCUUUGCUGGUCUGGGUGGGUUGUUUGCCCUUCAUUACUUUAUCUUUUGUUCUCAUUACAUUUGUUCCUUCAGAAUGGCAAGCGAGCUCAGCAGAUAAAAGUGCUUGCCAUAGGCACCAAGCCCGAUGACCUGAGUUUGAUCUUCAAGUGGAAGAAAGAAUGGACUCUAAGGAGUUGUCCUCUGACCCAAGGUGUGCCCCCAAUAACCAGGGUAAAUAAAUAAUAAAAGAUUGAUUCUUUUCUUUGA
Long non-coding RNA from Mastomys coucha (southern multimammate mouse), 1161 nucleotides. RefSeq lists it as uncharacterized. NCBI's taxonomy places the organism in Eukaryota, Metazoa, Chordata, Mammalia, Rodentia, Muridae. The transcript has 2 exons. The record is from RefSeq and is a predicted model, not a curated record.